GCCAAGAUAGUUCAAUUGGUUAGAACAUUAAUUUCAUGCAUUAAAGAUAGGAAUUCGACUUUCUUUCCUGGUA
Molecule: non-coding RNA, 73 nt
Organism: Aplosporella prunicola CBS 121167
Lineage: Eukaryota; Fungi; Ascomycota; Dothideomycetes; Botryosphaeriales; Aplosporellaceae
Source: the annotation of a RefSeq genome assembly